GACGAACGCUGGCGGCGUGCCUAAUACAUGCAAGUAGGACGCAGUUGCGAACGGGUGAGUAACGCGUAGGUAACUACCUAUUAGAGGGGGAUAACUAUUGGAAACGAUAGCUAAUACCGCAUACUAGUAGAUGGACCUGGGUUGUAUUAGCUAGUAGGUAGGGUAAUGGCCUACCUAGGCAACGAAUCAUAGCCGACUCGGGAAGGGUGUCGGCCCACCCGGGACUGGAACACGGCCCAGACCCCUACGGGAGGCAGCAGGAGGGAAUCUUCGGCAAUGGGGGGAAACCUGACCGAGCAACGCCGCGUGAGUGAAGAAGGGUUUCGGAUCGUAAAGCUCUGUUGUUAAGGAAGCGGUACUUAACCAGAAAGGGACGGCUAACUACGUGCCAGCAGCCGCGGUAAUUC
Molecule: ribosomal RNA, 407 nt
Filed under: uncultured bacterium
Lineage: Bacteria
Description: partial 16S ribosomal RNA
Rfam family: Bacterial small subunit ribosomal RNA
Source: RNAcentral